GUGCUUGCUUUGGCAGCACAUUUACUAAAAUGAGAAUGAUACAGAGAAGAUUAACAAAGCCCCUGCACAAGAAUGACAAGAAAAUUUGUGAAUCGUUCCAUAUUUUU
Small nuclear RNA from Microcebus murinus (gray mouse lemur), 107 nucleotides. Lineage: Eukaryota; Metazoa; Chordata; Mammalia; Primates; Cheirogaleidae. The record is from Ensembl.